This 590-nucleotide ribosomal RNA is filed under the name uncultured bacterium. Its description in RNAcentral is "bacterial SSU rRNA". It matches the Rfam family "Bacterial small subunit ribosomal RNA", at positions 902 to 1503 of the family's 1533-position model. The record is from RNAcentral.
CAAAGGAAUUGACGGGGGCCCGCACAAGCGGAGGAACAUGUGUUUUAAUUCGAUGAUACGCGAGGAACCUUACCCGGGCUCGAACGGCAGCUGAAUAUUCCAGAGAUGGGAUAGUCUUCGGACAGUUGUCGAGGUGCUGCAUGGUUGUCGUCAGCUCGUGCUGUGAAGUGUCGGCUUAAGUGCCAUAACGAGCGCAACCCUUGCCUUCAGUUGCCAUCAGGUUAAGCUGGGGACUCUGGAGGGACUGCCACCGCAAGGUGCGAGGAAGGGGGGGAUGACGUCAAAUCAGCACGGCCCUUACGUCCGGGGCGACACACGUGUUACAAUGGCAGGUACAGAGGGGUGCUACCGGGCGACCGGAUGCCGAUCUCGAAAACCUGUCCCAGUUCGGACUGGAGUCUGCAACCCGACUCCACGAAGUUGGAUUCGCUAGUAAUCGCGCAUCAGCCAUGGCGCGGUGAAUACGUUCCCGGGCCUUGUACACACCGCCCGUCAAGCCAUGGGAGCCGGGGGCGCCUGAAGUCCGGGACCGCGAGGACCGGCCUAGGGCGAAACUGGUGACUGGGGCUAAGUCGUAACAAGGUAACCGU